AUACGGAGGAUCCGAGCGUUAUCCGGAUUUAUUGGGUUUAAAGGGUGCGCAGGCGGCCAUUUAAGUCAGCGGUUAAAUCGUGGGGCUCAACCCCAUUCUCCCGUUGAUACUGGGUGGCUUGAUUGCGGUCGAGUUUGGCUGAAUUCGUUGUGUCUCGGUGAAAUGCAUAGAUAUGACGAAGAACACCGAUUGCGUAGGCAGCUGACCAGACCGCAAAUGACGCUCAUGCACGAAAGUGCGGGGAUCGAACAGGAUUAGAUACCCUGGUAGUCCGCACAGUAAACGAUGAAUACUUGUUUUCGGCGAUAUAAUGUCGGAGGCAAAGCGAAAGCGAUAAGUAUUCCACCUGGGGAGUACGCCGGCAACGGUGAAACUCAAAUGAAUUGACGGGG
Molecule: ribosomal RNA, 392 nt
Filed under: uncultured bacterium
Lineage: Bacteria
Description: partial 16S ribosomal RNA
Rfam family: Bacterial small subunit ribosomal RNA
Source: RNAcentral